GUGGCAACCCAAAGAGCACCCACUGGGUGUCCCCAGUUCAGACACAUGGGUGGAGUUUCCCCUUGAUCGACUUAAAAUGGUGUUUCAUUUGCUUCCUGGCCCUGGUGAAAUUUUACUAGUACUGGUGUGGAAAACGAGUCGGGUCUCAUACAUAGUUUUCUCUUGAAACCUGUAAAAGUUCGAGUUUACAUUUGCGGGUGGGAAAAGUCUUGUCCUGUUCAGGUGUGAGUCUGCUGCCCUUGGUCUCGGUGCCAGAUGGACCCUUCUAGCACUGAUGUGCUGGAGGUGGAGGGGACAGCACAUCCUCUGAGAUUCCCAGUAGGAGAAAAGUCCACAUUGUACCAGCCAGAUAUUUCCCCCGCGAGGUGUGAAGCAGCCCUCCAAGAAAUCACUUGAAAAAAUGGACACAAUUGUCAGAGCCUGAGUUAGGGAUGUCACUAUUACCCUUCCAGGAAGUACUUGAAAUCGAAAUGAUUCCUGUUGUUUCUUUGAAGUGAGAAAGUCCACGGAACCUAGGAAUCGCUCACGUUGUUGGGCUCCUUCAUGUUUGGACAACACUGGUGUCAUGCCUUAGUGAAGGCAUGUUUUCUUUCUUACUUGCUUGCUUUCUUGCUUUCUUUUCUUUAUUGAUGCUUAUUAAUGAGAGAGAGAGAGAGAGAGAGAGAGAGAGAGAGAGAGAGCGCCACAACGGGGGAGGGGCAGGGAGCUAGGGAGACAGAGGAUCCAAAGUGGGUUCUGCACUGACAGCACAGACCCAAUGUGGGACUGGGACUCACGAGCGGCAAUAUAAUGACCUCAGCCAAAGUCAGACGCUUAACAGACUGAGGCCCCCAGGUGCCCCUGGAAGGGUGUAUUCUUAAUGGAUGACUUAAAUGCAUGGGUGACUUUUUGUUUUCCAGAACAUUUUCUCAAUUGAAUUGAAGCCGGAAUGUUUCUGAUGGUCUAAGACGCCCUUUGAGAGCAGUGUUAGAAAUCCCACAUGAUGUUUCUUUUGUGUCUGAUGUAGUCAUUCCCGCACGGGGCUGUGGGUGGGCAUUUGGUGGCCCGGCUGCCCAGCCCCCCCAAGCUGAGAGCUGUCACACUGUGGCCAGAGAGCUUGUUGGGUGGCCUCUGAGAACCGUUCUCCCAGGCGUCCCUGACCCCGGGCCCUGCUCUUUCACAUGUGGAAUCUUAGGAAGGCCACACCAUGUCCAUUCCCCAGGAUGAGGGGGUGCUGAUGAGACCCAUGGGAGACUGACCCUAUUUUGUGGUAUGAGUCACCGGUGUCCUUCUGUCUCCCUUUUCCCAAAGGUGAUUUUCCUCUUGUUUUCAUUUGGGUUGUCUGUGUUUCUUACAAUCCCCUGUGUGGGCUUCACUCCUCAUUGACUACACUUUUCUGAAUGAUGUAAGUGGCAAAGAGCAGAGAUGGGGGCCAAGACCGUGAAAGUUUCUGGGCACCGUGAGCACAUCAAGGAAGAGACUAUCUUCAUGCUGGUGUGAAAUUGGUCUUUUGAAAGGCAGAGACACAGACCAGGGGGACACAGCUUUCCUGUGAACCCACACUGGCACGACUUGGUCUGUCUUGGGAGCUGAUGUUCCCACAACACGUGACUCCAUGCUUCUAUACAUGUGUUUGCAUAGGUACGUGGUGGCUUAGAAUCUCCCAUCACAAACAGUUCCUGUAUUGAUGAUUCUAGCAUCUUGUCUUCAAGAGCGGAGAUUUCAUCAAGGGACUCGGUCACCUACCCUCUCUGCAAGUGGGCGUUCCUGCCACACACCAUGUCUUUGAAUACUUUCGACCUUAAACUCCCCUCCACGACUCUAAUUUUCCUGCUUUGUCACUGCGCAUGGGGUAUACUGGGGAGCUGCUUUCUAAGUCCCAUAUUCUCAUGAAAAGCCCCAAAUAGGAGAGCCGAGGGAUUGUCCCGUGGGAGAGCGGGCCCUGCACGUGACUCGGCAUGGCCUUAUGCUGCCACCUCUCCCGGUGGUGUUUCCUAGUCAGGAAGUGUAGGUAAAAGGAACCUUGAAACUGUGCUCAGAGUUUUCUUUAGGAUGCACCGGCUUCCGAUUGGACCUUCCCGUCCCUACUGUGAGGGACCAUCCCUCUGAUCUGUUUGGGUCACCUGCGGUGCUUGACUUCCUCGGCCCCAAUAUCUUUCAGGAAAAUGAAGCUGUUCUUGGCUGAGGCAGAGCCAGGAAAUCAUCCCCAAAAGAGGUGAAGUCUGUAGUGUGGGUAUGUUAGACACAGUGUAUGUUCCUCCCUGACUUGUUGAGCCCACAGCUUCCACAGAAGCCACGUGAGGAUGUCGAGGCCCUGGGAGCCGACUCCCGAGCCGGUGAAGUCACCAUUGCUCUCAUCGUCGUUUCUGUUCCCGUGGCUUUGAAACAUGCUGGAUGUUGGGAGAACCCCUGGGACAGUUGUGGGCACCCUGUGGCCGUUCCAGGUGUUGGAGCCGGUUCUACCCCCAUCACCAUUCCCAAGGACACUGGGCAGUGGCCAGGGCUGGUUUGCUUUUUAGCUAUACUCUGGGAUUGCCAUCCAGAUGUGUGGACGUGGUGACCCCUGGACAGCCCUGUGGGGUGGCCUUUGUGCCAUUUUGUGGUCCCCUGAUUGUGACAGCUCUAAAGGCUUCUUGACCUGCCAUAUUUUGACCACAGCUUGUGAUCUGCUUCACUAUUCCCGGUGUUAAAUGUAGAAAGGGGCUUUAGAUGAUAAAUUCUGAUAGUGUCUUGUGUCACCUUCGAAUGUGUAAGAAUAUGUGAAAGCAGUAGUACUUCAAGUAAAGAGAUGCUGUCUAAACGUUUUGCCUCACUGUCUUUGACUAGCGUCCUCAGAGUCUCUGCGAUGUGGGAUUGUUGACUUGGUUUCCACCUCUGCUAUGAGCUGAGGCUUGCAAAAGUGCUUCUCCUAAUCCCACUACCUGAUGAAAGAGAACCUUUUCUCCAUAUGAAUAUAGCAAAUUCCAUUUUAGGUCAGCUACUCUUGGAUUUGGGAUGACUCACUGGCCCGGAGCACAUUAGUUUCUGUUUUCCCUGUAAACUUGACUCUGAGCUCUACUGACAAGAUGGGCCUGGCAGACUAAGGGGAGACUGGCAAAGGCAGGGACUGGGGGUGUGGAGGAAUGGGGCCUAGUGGUGUAGAGAUCCCACCACGUGACCUCACGUGUCAUCUUAGAAGGCACCGACGCCCUCCCACCAUUCCCAGUUCUGUCUCUUCUCUUCUCUUCUCUUCUCUUCUCUUCGCUUCGCUUCGCUUCCCUUCCCUUCCCUUCCCUUCCCUUCUUUCCCUUCAAGCAUACACAAGUUGAGAGAGAAUGAUUUUUAAGAACACCAGACCCUCAAGGAAAAGAGCUUGAAAGAGGAACAAAAGCCUCUCAUGGUUAUGGCAGGAUGUUUGGCAUGUGGUAGGACCGGAUGGACAAGGUCGGUGUUCGCCGAAUAUCCCAGUUCACUGUGGGCACAGAGUAGGCGAAGUAGGGGCUCAGACUUCUUGCAGAAGAGCUUUGAGUCCAUGCGGUGAAGGCGAGCCUUCAGCCAGCUGGCACCAGAACCAGAUCUGGGGCUGUCCUUCAGUGCGCGGGCGAUGCUUCAGCCACCAGGUGCUUUGCUGUCCUUCAGGCAUUGACGACCUUGACAGAACAGUCCAACAUGGCCCUCUGUGUAGAGUCACUUCCCGUGAGUCCGGGAGAGAGCACUCUCUGAGGACAGUGGGCGACCUUCCUCUGCCAUCCAGCUAUAGGGUUCAGCAUGGUUGACUGCACACAUCAGCCUUUGGUGGCACUUUGCAUCCUCUGUCCUGAGACACCCGGAGCUCGGCCGCUCUAUUCCACGCCCCAUGCAAGAGACUACGGUGUAGUGGGGUGGUGUGUUACAUGUUUCUCCAGGGAGGUACCUGUGUACAUUCUGCAGACCUCCCUGUAGAGGUGAAUUUCCCAGUUUGAGCAGUGUCUCUUAUUCUGACCCAACAGAUGUCUGCCUCUGCUCUGCAUAGACGGGAAGCCAUCAGCUGAUACGGAAUUUCUGGUCUAUAAUUCUAACGUGUCCCUUGUAAUUCCAGAUGCUGCUCAGAUCGGGUUCAGUGUUGAGCCAAGUGCAGAACUGCACCAUUGGGUCACAGUGAGCCACGCUGAACUGUGUUCACACAGAGCAGAUAUUUGGGGGGUCGUAGGGGCACCGCACACCAGGUCUGGAAUUUGCCUACGCUGGGGUUGGACCACGAGUGAGCUACAGGAAACAGACAGGGACGUUUCCUGGUGUGACUGUCAUUCCCGGAGAUAUCUAGACGGGCAGAGUGGGGAGUGGAAUCGUCUUUGGAUUCUACAAAGUUGCCUGGUUGCCUUUUGCAGUACAGACAACCCGUCACCCCCGUGUGCUUCGGACAGUGAGAGAAGCAGGUAGAGGCCUUUCCUUCCUGAAACAAAGCCUGUGCCCAUGGGGUUGUAGGGAUUUGAAGCGGAGAGAAAUUCAUGGUCUGUCUGCGUCUCUAGCUCUGGGUUGGCAAAAUGACACAGUGGGGCAAACAACGAAUCUAUCGAGGAGAAGCUUGAUGGCAGUAACAACAAAGCUGUCACUGCUGGCUUCUCUGCUUCUGUUGUCCUCUCAACACCUUGGGCUCUGGCCUUACUAGGCCCCGAAGCUUCCCUGAGGAGCCCUCCUUCCCGCCAGCCUGUCUGCAGCUGCCUUUCCCCUGUGUCUUCUGCCUGUGGUCCUUCACUCACCCUGGACAUUACUGUAUUUCCGUGGAGGCUCUCUGGGGCUGGGACCUGUCCUCCUUACCUCGUGCCUGGCCUGGCACCGUGCAGGCGCUCAGCGAUAUCUCAUGAGUUACCAGCCGGUGCAGUGACGGUACCCAGACAGCUGACGGAAAUGCCCAGGUGUCUACACCUGGUAUAGUGGGGAGACUGCCCUUAACAGAUGAAUUUGGUGGGGUGCUGCCAUGGGCUCACAGCCCCUCUCUCCGUGCCUCCCUACACCUGUAGGCAAGCUUGGCUUCCAGCUCUUCCAGAUUGGACCAACUUGUCAGAAAUCUAGGUGGCUCAGUCUAUUAUGUGUCUGACUCCUGGUUUCGGCUCAGGUCAUGGUCUCACGGUUCCUGGGUUCGAGCACUGCAUCGGGCUGUCUACUGUCAGUGCAGAGCCUCCUAGGGAUUCUCUCUCUCUC
Acinonyx jubatus (cheetah) is the source of this 5139-nucleotide long non-coding RNA. RefSeq lists it as uncharacterized. NCBI's taxonomy places the organism in Eukaryota, Metazoa, Chordata, Mammalia, Carnivora, Felidae. The record is from RefSeq and is a predicted model, not a curated record. The transcript is spliced from 2 exons.